GUGCUUUCGGCACUGCAGUCUUGUACCGUCUCUGUGUGUCUGUAUGUUUCUUUGUGUUCAUCCCCCGUUCUGCAAUAGGGCUGCAACAAGUGGCACAGCGAGCAGGGUCUGUGUCAUUCAGGAUGGAGGGACUGAAGAGGCACCUCUUUGGCCAUCGCUUUCCCAGUUCGGCCUUCUGCCCCUCCAGUGGGAUGAAACUUUAGAAUUCCUUUUACCCAAGGGCCAGAUGAUGAAUUCCCCUUGCCCCCUGACUUUGAUGAUCAUCCUCUGAAACCAGAUCCUAACGUUAUUAUUCCUCGAUCCUUUGCAUUUCCCAUUACUCAUCAAGUGCCUCCUGGCCAAGAUCCCAAUCUCCCUAAUGGAGGAUGGAAUGUACAAUAUCAGGCUUUGCAAUACAAAUUUUUAAAGGAA
Long non-coding RNA from Lemur catta (Ring-tailed lemur), 411 nucleotides. RefSeq lists it as uncharacterized. The transcript has 2 exons. NCBI's taxonomy places the organism in Eukaryota, Metazoa, Chordata, Mammalia, Primates, Lemuridae. The record is from RefSeq and is a predicted model, not a curated record.